CGGCGGACGGGUGAGUAACGCGUGGGUAACCUGCCUCAUACAGGGGGAUAACAGUUGGAAACGGCUGCUAAUACCGCAUAAGCGCACAGUACCGCAUGGUACGGUGUGAAAAACUCCGGUGGUAUAAGAUGGACCCGCGUUGGAUUAGCUAGUUGGUGAGGUAACGGCCCACCAAGGCGACGAUCCAUAGCCGACCUGAGAGGGUGACCGGCCACAUUGGGACUGAGACACGGCCCAA
Molecule: ribosomal RNA, 238 nt
Filed under: uncultured bacterium
Lineage: Bacteria
Description: partial 16S ribosomal RNA
Rfam family: Bacterial small subunit ribosomal RNA
Source: RNAcentral